CCGCCAGGCUCCCCACCAGCUCCGGAGGUGGUAGCGGUGCAGACCGAGUGAGCUGCGGUGGGGCCAGGGCGGAAGCCGAGUCUGCCGCGGACUCCGCAAUCCCGCAGCCGGCGACUGGAGCCCACCUCUGCAGAGACAAAGAUGCCCAAGGAUUCAGCAAACGCCGGGGAAGCAGAGAACACAACAAGCUUGGAUGUGAAAUAGCACUGCCUUUUGUAUUGGAGAAGAAAACAAUAUUUUAAAUUACACAAGCAGAUGGGGCUUGUGAAGACUUCACACUGGUAUACUGGUGUGUGUGUGUGUGUGUGUGUGUGUAUGGAAUUGAGCAAAGAACUUGUUCAAUUCCAAAAUUUUCUGAGAAGUAAUCGCAAUGGUCAAUUUGCCUCAUUAUCCUCUCCCUGUCUUACCAAAUAAAAGCAGAGCUUUACUACUCUCCUUUUCAGCUUGGGGAAUGAGGGCCGUGAAGAGACUUUGCACUGAAAAAGCAGCCAUAUUUGCAUUUACUCCACUUGUGUAGAGGUCAAUGUCACAGCCAUCAUUUCUUUCCAGUAUGGAAAGCCAGGUGGUGCUUUCCUUCUGACCUGGCCAGUGACAAUAUUUCUGUGGCCCAGGAAGCCACAGGCAAACGGCCCAAAAAAACGCGACGGGGUGACCCUGGCCCAGAACUAUAGGAUUCCAUUUUCUUACCUAUGUAAUAAAAGCAACUCUGGAAAUAAAAAUGUACCCCUCUGAAAACAACAUGGUUAGAGAAAGCAGAGAGCUUUUUGAUGAUCACCUAAUAAAGGUGCUUUCCCUUUUUCGGGAAUGUUACUUUACUUGAAUUUCUCCUCUAUUUUCCCGGCUCCUCUUCCUUGCCCGCCCCCCACUUUCCCCUGUAAAAUGGCAGCUGGAGGAGCAGCCUCCAAGGGAAAAUGGAUCUCUCGUUAAUAACAGAUGCCAAAACCCAGUAUCAACACUGGCUCAGUGGAAUAAGCUGUGGUGUAACCUGGACUCUGGGUCGUCUCCCACUGGGCCUACAACUUGAGUCCUUUAAGAGGUUCAAAGCUCUCAGAGUAUCUUAGCAAGAUUAUUUAGAGCAACAUAGACUAGCCAGCCCUCUCACGAAAGAGAAGGGGCCCCCCCGCAGGAUUUUUUUUUAACAGCUCGAGAUGUGUGUAACUCCACCCCUUUCUUAUUAAACAGAAGCCUAGUGACUCAGAGAAAACGGGUAUUUGCGGCGCUCAAAGACACUAACUCUAGAAAGACAUUCAUUUCUUUAUUAAGGAGCUAGAGACAUUCUGGAGUGGUUGUUUACACUCAGAUUUUUCUGCGUUUGCUCUCAGGGCUUGUUUCAAAUAGGUGAGGCUAUUGCUUUUCUGAAGAACAGCAGAGGAUGUACCAACCGAUGUCGAACACAGCAAGCUGGUUUAAAACUAGCAGGCAAACAGAGCAAAGGCAA
Molecule: non-coding RNA, 1438 nt
Organism: Callithrix jacchus (white-tufted-ear marmoset)
Lineage: Eukaryota; Metazoa; Chordata; Mammalia; Primates; Cebidae
Source: RefSeq, a predicted model, not a curated record